AACCACCCUGUAGCUCCGUCCCUGCACGCAACCUUUUCAAAAUAAUUUUACACACAAAUAAAAAGGAGAAAAAGGGGGCCACGGUUUUUUUUCUAAAGACGAAUGUAGGAAAUCCUGAAGGGCACUCUUUCAUUGAACGCUCACUAGCAGGGCUCUCUUUCGCUGCUGGGUCGACUGACAUGGCGAUGGUGUACCGCAAGCCGCAUGCGUUGUAAAUGGCGAUUCUUGGCC
Molecule: long non-coding RNA, 231 nt
Filed under: Setaria italica (foxtail millet)
Lineage: Eukaryota; Viridiplantae; Streptophyta; Magnoliopsida; Poales; Poaceae
Description: long non-coding RNA (SITA_LNC004707)
Source: RNAcentral